AGCAGCCGCGGUAAUUCCAGCUCCAAUAGCGUAUAUUAAAGUUGCUGCAGUUAAAAAGCUCGUAGUUGAAUUUCGGGGUCAAUAUGUUGGUCGUGCCUUGGUACGUACUAGCUUAUUGAUUUCUCCUUUCUGACGAACCAUGAUGUCAUUAAUUUGGUGUCAUGGGGAAUCAGGACUGUUUACUUUAGAAAAAAUUAGAGUUAGUUUAAAGCAGGCUCGCGCUUGAAUAUAUUAGC
RNAcentral lists this ribosomal RNA (236 nucleotides) under uncultured Glomus. Its description in RNAcentral is "partial 18S ribosomal RNA". It matches the Rfam family "Eukaryotic small subunit ribosomal RNA", at positions 569 to 808 of the family's 1831-position model. Lineage: Eukaryota; Fungi; Glomeromycota; Glomeromycetes; Glomerales; Glomeraceae. The record is from RNAcentral.